AUGUCCACUUUGCCACGAUCGAAGAAAUGUUGUAUGUCUGGACCUGAUCCAAAACCAAGUUCUAAUUGCCCUUCUGCAUGUUCUGUAAUGUUCAAAGUGCCAUCAGAACCAACCAACGGAAUGCCCAAAACAGGCAGUGCAACAGACGUAGAUGAGGGUCUUUACUCCCGGCAGCUGUAUGUCCUGGGCCAUGAGGCUAUGAAGCAUCUCCAGACAUCCAGUGUGCUGGUGUCAGGCCUUCGGGGCCUAGGGGUGGAGAUUGCGAAGAAUAUCAUCCUUGGUGGGGUCAAAGCUGCCACCCUCCAUGACCAGGGCACUGCCCAGUGGGCUGACCUCUCAUCCCAGUUCUACCUAAGGGAGGAGGACAUCGGUAAGAACCGGGCUGAGGCAUCACAGCCCCGCCUUGCUGAACUCAACAGUUAUGUGCCUGUCACCACCUACACUGGGGCCCUUGUUGAUGACUUCCUUAGUGGUUUCCAGGUGGUGGUCCUUACCAACUCUCCUUUGGAGGACCAGCUGCGGGUGGGUGAGUUUUGUCACAGCCAUGGAAUCAAGCUGGUGGUGGCAGACACUCGGGGUCUGUUUGGGUGAUUGUUCUGUGACUUUGGAGAGGAGAUGAUCCUGACGGACUCGAAUGGGGAACAGCCUCUCAGUGCUAUGAUUUCUAUGGUUACCAAGGACAACCCUGGUGUUAUAACCUGCCUGGAUGAGGCCCGACACGGGUUUGAGAGUGGUGACUUCGUCUCCUUCACAGAAGUUCAGGCCAUGAAUGAACUCAAUGGCAUCAGUCCCCUAGAGAUCAAAGUCCUGGGUCCCUACACCUUUAGUAUCUGUGAUACCUCCAAUUUCUGUGACUAUAUCUGUGGAGGCGUUGUCAGUCAGGUCAAAGUAACUAAGAAGAUGAGCUUUAAAUCCUUGCCCACUUCACUGGCAGUGCCAGACUUUGUGAUAACAGAUUUUACCAAGUAUUCUCGCCCUCCGCAGCUGCACAUUGGCUUCCAGGCCCUGCACCAGUUCUGUGCUCAGCAUGGCCAGCCCCCUCGGCCCCACAAUGAGGAGGGUGCAACAGAACUGGUGACCCUAGCACAGGCUGUGAAUGCUCAAGCUCUGCCAGCAGUGCAGCAAAACAGUCUGGAUGAAGACCUCAUCCGGAAGCUGGCUUAUGUGGCUGCUGGGGAUCUGGCACCCAUAAAUUCCUUCAUUAGGGGUGUGGCUGCCCAGGAGGUUAAGAAGGCCUGCUCUGGAAAGUUUAUGCCUGUUAUGCAGUGGCUGUACUUUGAUGCCGUUUAGUGUCUCCCUGAGGACAAAGAGGCCUUUACAGAGGACCGGUGCCUUCCAUGCCAGAACCCUUAUGAUGGGCAGGUGGCUGUAUUUGGCUCUGGCCUGCUAGAGAAGUUGGCCAAGCAGAGAUACUUCUUGGUGAGAGAUCCUUUUGGUGGGUGCAGGGCCAUUGGCUGUGAGCUGCUCAAGAACUUUGCCAUGAUAGGGCUAGGCUGCAGGGAGGGCGGGGCAAUCACCAUUACAGACAUGGACACCAUAGAAAAAUCCAAUCUGAAUCGACAGUUUCUGUUCCAGCCUUGGGAUGUCAAGAAAUUGAAGUCUGAUACAGCUGCUGCAGCUGUGAGCCAGAUAAAUCCACACAUCAUGGGUGAUGAGCCAUCAGAACUGUGUGGGCCCUGACACAGAGCAUGUGUAUGAUGAUAACUUCUUCCAAAACCUGGAUGGUGUGGCCAAUGCCCUGGACAAUGUGGAUGCCCACACGUAUAUGGACCGCUGCUGUGUGUACUACCGUAAGCCACUUCUGGAGUCAGGCACACUGGGUACCAAGGGUAAUGUGCAAGUGGUUAUCCCCUUCCUGACAGAGUCAUACAGCUCCAGCCAGGACCCUCUUGAGAAGUCCAUCCCCAUCUGCACACUGAAGAACUUCCCGAAUGCCAUCGAGCACACUUUGCAGUGGGCUCGGGAUGAGUUCGAAGGUCUCUUCAAGCAACCAGCAGAAAACGUCAACCAGUACCUAAUAGAUUCAACAUUUGUGGAGAGAACACUGCACCUGGCAGGCACCAAACCCCUGUAGGUGCUGGAGGCUGUGCAGCACAGCCUGGUGCUUCAGCGGCCAUAUACAUGGGCUGACUGUGUGACCUGGGCUUACUACCACUGGCACACCCAGUACUCCAACAACAUCAGAUGGUUGCUGCACAACUUUCCCCCGAACCUGCUUACAAGCUCAGGAGCCCCUUUCUGGUCUGGGCCUAAACGCUGUCCACACCCGCUCAUCUUUGAUGUCAGCAGUCCCCUGCAUCUGGACUACGUGAUAGCUGCUGCCAGCCUGUUUGCCCAGACCUAUGGGCUGAGGGGCUCUCAGGACCGAGCUGCUGUGACCAUACUCAUUCGGUCUGUGCAGGUCCCUGAGUUCACCCCGAAGUCUGGUGUCAAGAUGCAUGUUUCUGACCAGGAGCUGCAGACCACUUCCUGUGUUGAUGAUAACCACCUGCAAGAGCUCAAGGCCAUGCUGCCCAGCCCAGAGAGCCUCCCUGGGUUCAAGAGGUACCCCAUCAACUUUGAGAAGGAUGAUGACAGCAACUUUCAUAUGGAUUUCAUUGUGGCUGCAUCCAAUCUCCGGGCGGAGAACUAUAACAUUCCCCCUGCAGACCGGCAUAAGAGUAAGUUGAUUGCAGGGAAGAUCAUUCCAGCCAUUGCCACAACCACAGCAGCUAUAGUUGGCCUUGCAUGUCUGGAGCGGUACAAGGUGGUGCAGGGACACCAACAGCUUGAGUCCUAUAAGAACAGCUUCGUCAGCUUGGCCCUGCCCUUUUUCAGCUUCUCUGAGCCCCUUGCCCCACACCAUCACCAGUACUAUAACCAGCAGUGGACAUUGUGGGAUCGCUUUGAGUUACAGGGGCUGAAGCCUAAUGGUGAAGAGAUGCCCCUCAAGCAGUUCCUUGACUACUUUAAGACAGAGCACAAGUUAGAGAUCACCAUGCUGUCCCAAGGUGUAUCCAUGCUGUACUCCUUUUUCAUGACAGCAAGCAAGCUCAAGGAACGGUUGAAUCAGCCAUGAGUUGGGAUGACAGCAAUAGUGAGAUGAGUAUCAAAGCGACAGCUGGGACACCACGUUCAAGCACUGGUGCUUGAGCUGUGCUGCAAGGACGAGAGUGGCGAGGAUGUGGAGGUCCCCUAUGUACAAUACACCCUUCGCUGA
This is an RNA transcript of Balaenoptera musculus (blue whale), 3199 nucleotides long. It is a transcript of the gene named ubiquitin-like modifier-activating enzyme 1, with no coding region annotated. The record is from RefSeq and is a predicted model, not a curated record. The transcript has 25 exons. NCBI's taxonomy places the organism in Eukaryota, Metazoa, Chordata, Mammalia, Artiodactyla, Balaenopteridae.